This 493-nucleotide ribosomal RNA is filed under the name uncultured bacterium. RNAcentral describes it as "bacterial SSU rRNA". It matches the Rfam family "Bacterial small subunit ribosomal RNA", at positions 1 to 507 of the family's 1533-position model. The record is from RNAcentral.
ACGAGUUUGAUCAGUGGCCUACGAGGACGAACGCUGGCGGCGCGCCUAACACAUGCAAGUCGAACGGAGUCAAGAGGAGCUUGCUUUUCUUGACUUAGUGGCGAACGGGUGAGUAACGCGUGAGUAACCUGCCCUGGAGUGGGGGACAACAGUUGGAAACGACUGCUAAUACCGCAUAAGCCCACGGAUCCGCAUGGAUCUGCGGGAAAAGGAUUUAUUCGCUUCAGGAUGGACUCGCGUCCAAUUAGCUAGUUGGUGAGGUAACGGCCCACCAAGGCGACGAUUGGUAGCCGGACUGAGAGGUUGAACGGCCACAUUGGGACUGAGACACGGCCCAGACUCCUACGGGAGGCAGCAGUGGGGGAUAUUGCACAAUGGGGGAAACCCUGAUGCAGCGACGCCGCGUGGAGGAAGAAGGUUUUCGGAUUGUAAACUCCUGUCGUUAGGGACGAUAAUGACGGUACCUAACAAGAAAGCACCGGCUAACUACGUG